CAUACUUAUAUAAGAGUAAAUGUAUAGUAUAUAGGAAUAAAACUAGGUUGCAGAGACUGGCACAUCUCUCACGUGGAACACGAUUCGUUGUAGGUUUGUUCAGUACCUUGUAUAAUAUAAUGGAAGUAUGGAAAGGAAAGGACGCAUGUAACCCUCCGGCAAAAAAGUCAUCAUGGGCUUCGAAUAUCGUUUUGCCGAUCGCAGGAUCAUUGCCAAUUCCCACGAGCAUCUUGAGAUCUCGACUGAUCAUGUGACAAGUAAAACAGUGGAAAAAUCUAGCUCGUAAAUAAUAAAUUUAGAAGGAAGGAAGGAAGGAAGGAAGGAAGGAAGGAAGGAAG
Long non-coding RNA from Polistes canadensis, 338 nucleotides. RefSeq lists it as uncharacterized. NCBI's taxonomy places the organism in Eukaryota, Metazoa, Arthropoda, Insecta, Hymenoptera, Vespidae. The transcript has 2 exons. The record is from RefSeq and is a predicted model, not a curated record.